Molecule: ribosomal RNA, 497 nt
Filed under: uncultured bacterium
Lineage: Bacteria
Description: partial 16S ribosomal RNA
Rfam family: Bacterial small subunit ribosomal RNA
Source: RNAcentral
GAUGAACGCUGGCGGCGUGCCUAAUACAUGCAAGUCGAGCGAACGGACGUGAAGCUUGCUUCUCUGAUGUUAGCGGCGGACGGGGGAGUAACACGUGGAUAACCUACCUAUAUGACUGGGAUAACUUCGGGAGACCGGAGCGAAUACCGGAUAAUAUUUUGAACCGCAUGGUUCAAAAGUGAAAGACGGUCUUGCUGUCACUUAUAGAUGGAUCCGCGCUGCAUUAGCUAGUUGGUAAGGUAACGGCUUACCAAGGGAACCAUACAUAGCCGACCUGAGAGGGGGAUGGGCCCAAUUGGAACGGGGACACGGCCAAGCCUCCAACGGGAGGCGGCAGUGGGGAAUCUCCGGCAAUGGGCGAAAGCCUGCCGGAGCAACGCCGCGUGGGUGAUGAAGGUCUUCGGAUCGUAAACCUCUGUUAUUGGGGAAGAACAUAUGUGUGAGUAACUGUGCACAUCUUGACGGUACCUAAACAGAAAGCCACGGCUAACUACGUG